CAGCGCCGCCACCUCUUUCCCUCUCCCAUCGAUCUCCCUCUCCGCCUCGUCCUUCCACACUGUCGCCUCCGCCACACAUGCAAUACACCAGGGAGGAGCUCCUGCGCCCGAUCCAUGGCCUCUCCCUUCCCCCGUCGCCGUUUCUCUGGAGAUCCGCCCCUCCCGCGCCCUUGCAGACGCGUGCGAGCAGCUGCUGCUGCGGUGGUCGUUGCAGGUCUCCAGCCGCCCAAAGAUUCCUCGGUCGUCGCCGAAGGGAGUCCGUCGAUGGCACCGCCCCUUCCCCGCGCCCGGUCUACUCCAGCCGCCGCCGGCUUCUUCGCUGCUGCACCUCCGGCCAUCCCCAUCGUCCGUAGGCCUCCUCGCCCGGUGCUCAUGCCCUUCUUCCCGGCUAUGCCUCCUGCACGAUGCCUCCCAUGCUCGCUGCUGCAAGCUUUGCCUUACCUCCAUCACCUCCAUGACUGUCCCUCUUCGUUGUUCCGCCAAGACCACCUAGUAGUUGUUGGACAAGGAGCAUCAAGACCGAGACCGCCCCGAACCACGUCAUCUCGCCGGAUCGUAAGACCAUCUCGGUUUUUGCAAGUACCUCUACGCCUGAAGACGUUGGAUGCGCCGAGUUCCACUAUGACAUGCACCACUACUAUCGCUGAGGGUUUCGUCAAGUUCAACUACAUCGGCCAUCCACGGAAACUCGUGCGACUAUGACCGUGAACAACUACCAUCGACCCCAAGUUACUGGGAUGCGUCAAGUCCCUUUUCGAGAUGUGUACCACUACUCCACUACCGUCGCGAGAACGUCUACUUCCCUCUAAUAACUCGAUCCACCCCAAAAUGCAUGCUUCGAAGGUAUAAUUGCCGAGGACGACCGCCAUGAACGAA
Long non-coding RNA from Triticum dicoccoides, 876 nucleotides. RefSeq lists it as uncharacterized. The record is from RefSeq and is a predicted model, not a curated record. The transcript is spliced from 2 exons. Lineage: Eukaryota; Viridiplantae; Streptophyta; Magnoliopsida; Poales; Poaceae.